AACGAACGCUGGCGGCAUGCCUAACACAUGCAAGUCGAACGAGACCUUCGGGUCUAGUGGCGCACGGGUGCGUAACGCGUGGGAAUCUGCCCUUGGGUUCGGAAUAACAGUUAGAAAUGACUGCUAAUACCGGAUAAUGUCUUCGGACCAAAGAUUUAUCGCCCAGGGAUGAGCCCGCGUAGGAUUAGCUAGUUGGUGAGGUAAAGGCUCACCAAGGCGACGAUCCUUAGCUGGUCUGAGAGGAUGAUCAGCCACACUGGGACUGAGACACGGCCCAGACUCCUACGGGAGGCAGCAGUGGGGAAUAUUGGACAAUGGGCGAAAGCCUGAUCCAGCAAUGCCGCGUGAGUGAUGAAGGCCUUAGGGUUGUAAAGCUCUUUUACCCGAGAUGAUAAUGACAGUAUCGGGAGAAUAAGCUCCGGCUAACUCCGUGCCAGCAGCCGCGGUAAU
This 450-nucleotide ribosomal RNA is filed under the name uncultured bacterium. Its description in RNAcentral is "bacterial SSU rRNA". It matches the Rfam family "Bacterial small subunit ribosomal RNA", at positions 29 to 524 of the family's 1533-position model. The record is from RNAcentral.